CUCACGUAGUUCUGAGGAUGGCUUUUAAAACCUGCCUCACAGACCUAGGCAGGGGAGGAUGGUAUACAGCCCACCCUACUUGGGUAAAAUUGGGUAUGCAUGCAUGCACUUUUGAGUGGUUGGAGCAAAGGAAGAGGAAUCUCUCCAAGCUGGCCAGACAGCUGAUGUGCUGUGCAGUUGGAUGCUGGUGGACACCAGUCUGGGUUGGGGAGUAUACGGCAGUGAGCCUCCCCCACUUGCAUGAAAGGUGAAAGAAUAAGAAGAAAGGAGAAAGAAGAAGAGAAGGAAGAAGACGAAGAGGAAAAAGAGGAGAAGAGGAUGAAGAGGAAGAAGAAGGAGGAGGAGGAAGAAGAAGGAGGAGGAGGAGGAAGAAGAAGGAGGAGGAAGAAGGAGGAGGAGGAGGAAGAAGAAGGAGGAGGAGGAGGAAGAAGAAGGAGGAGGA
RNAcentral lists this long non-coding RNA (442 nucleotides) under Homo sapiens (human). RNAcentral describes it as "HSALNT0129220". The record is from RNAcentral. Lineage: Eukaryota; Metazoa; Chordata; Mammalia; Primates; Hominidae.